Long non-coding RNA from Alligator sinensis (Chinese alligator), 3998 nucleotides. RefSeq lists it as uncharacterized. The record is from RefSeq and is a predicted model, not a curated record. Lineage: Eukaryota; Metazoa; Chordata; Crocodylia; Alligatoridae. The transcript is spliced from 9 exons.
GGCUGGGUGCUGGAUCAGGCCCUAAGAUGUUUAUAAGCAUCACCCCCUCCCAAUAACACAGAAGAAUCUCUGUAUACAUGCAACACUUGAAAUACCUAAGUAUGAGCUUUGCUACACCACAGUGGUCCAUUAUUUGCAGUAUUGUGACUCUAUUAGUGUUUUGUGCCUGAUACACAAGAAAGAGGAAUAUGUCCAUGAUAACCCAACUGUGCAACAUCUGCUGUGAUCACCCAAUGCCCUGAAAUGUGAGCUUUAAUGAUCCUUCCUUUAUGCAUAUUUAACUACAAAUAUUUUUCCUGUAAAGGAUCCCACAGAAAUCAAACUCUCACCCCAUUCAGAAUCAGGCCUCUUACUGCAACUCCCUGAACUUCUACUUGACUGCUUGUCUGACCCAGGUGGGAACCACUCACGUCUUGGAGCUUCCAAGUUUAGGUCGGUCAAAUAAAACGAACAGAUGUUAUGAACAGAAGAAGAAAUCAAGCCAUAGCUAUAAAAGCCUUAUUUUCAGGGGCAACACAGAAUAGCUUAAACUGUUGUGUUAGCCUGUAUAGUGAUUCCACAUCAAUUUUGUUUGUAGAUGUUAUCUCUGCUCAGAACGGUUUCCUCCUAAAUUAACUAGACAGUUGAAGAUAUGAGAAGCAUCUUGACCCACAUAUAUACAGACUUGUACCCAGAAGCCUUCUGAUCCCCGAGCAACCCACAGUAAAAUCCCGUCACGAUGGACUAAUAAACAUUUAUCAUAAUUUUCAACUUUUCAAAGUUUGUAGCGUACCAAGACAAUUGCAACUGGCUCUCGUCAUUGGUCUCUCAGUUGAGGAUCGAGAUUCGGCAAGAUGAUUGCUCGCCUGUAAUCCUAUGAACUAGAUGCAUCUGAUCAUGAACUUUACUGGAUAUAAUCUGUCUUCAAUGCAGAAAGCAACAGUAUGAUAUUGUGCCAUAAUGAAUCCUUCAUCAUGAUUGAAAAAGUGCAACAGGGAAACAUGUUUAAUAGACUGAAAAAUAAAGAAAUACCAGCUAAUGGAAGCCCAUGAAGUGCUGGUUCUUACUGCCCAAUUUCCCACCUGUAGCCAAGGGACAGAAACAAACCAACCACCAAACAGAAAAAUGAAAGACUAGAAGGUAAGGAUCAUGGUAAGGCAUUCAUUAUUCAUCCUUUGGUUUUUUUAGCAGUCAUCAUCCAGUAGCACACAGAGGACCCAAGUGAGAUCAGGCCUCCAUUUGGUUCGGCCCGGCGCAGAGAAAGAGUCUUCGCCCUAAGCCCAAAGACAAAAGGUAGACAAGUAGCAGGAGGAAAAACAGACUGGAAGUGAUUCAUCCGUGAUUACACACAGGAGUUCUGCUUCGAUGCCAAGAGUGACAGACACAUCAGAAAUAAACUAGAAUACGAGAGAGAGAAAGAGAAAUAAGAGAGCGAGCAAGCAUGCAAGAGCAAGCAUGCGCAUCCUUUUGCUGUAUUCUUCAGUAUUGUUUUAAUUUGUGCUUAUGGCAUCAGUUUACUGUCACAUCAGUGAUUGUGGUGAUAUCAUUUUUCACUCUGAAAUUAAGCAGAAUAAGCUGAAGAAACAAGCCCCAGAUGUUGAUAUGAGUAAAGCAAAAAACCCGAUUUCCAAGCUCUUAAAAUAUAACAAGAUGCAAAAAUAACACAACAGGAUGAUAUGGACUGAAUAUGUGUCUGCAACAGCAUCUCUCUGGUACUUAUUGGAGUAGUUUGGCUAUUCGUUGGUUAUAUUGGGUUAUCUAACACUUUGGCAAUCCCACUGGCAUCAAGAAGGUAGUGGGGGGCUCAGAUAAUGCCCAGAAAAAGACACGUCUUUUUUGGGUAGUGAUGUCAACAAAUAUGCACCGGGGCUCGGACCCACUCUAACUGAGCUCAGGGUUGAAAGUUUACUGCAUUCACAGAAGUCUGGCCAGCAUGAUGUGAAAACAUCUGCUGAGAAGCUUCCAAUCAUUCUGCCUUCCCCUGGCUCCCCAGAAUAAUCUCUGAAGACAUUGAAAAGGUAAGUGUGGGCGUGUUAUGUUCGGUGGUAGUAAGAUAAUCCAUAUCAAAUGUGGCAUCCAGAACGGCAGCAUCCAAGUGCAAAACAGACUAAUUUUGCGAGAAGAAAUCUGUAGAGACAUUGCCAUCAUGAGUUUAGGCAGGCCUGCAUACUGGUUCUUCACCCACUCUCUCAUUUUUGGUGUACUCGCUCCUUGUCUUCGAUUUUCACAAAAAAGGCUCGUGUCAAGCUUGGGUUCAGUCUCAUAGGGAAAUAGGGUGGCAAGGGACCACAUGAAGUCAUCUAGUCCAGCCCCCUGCUCCCUUGAGAGUCUUCCUUAGGAAGGGACUUGCUGCACUGUGCACUGUCAUAGCCUCCGCUAUCAGCCUCAGGUAAUGUGGUUUAAAAAGGCCCACCCUAAAAGUAAUGAACACAUGGAUCACUGUGGUCAGAUUCUACUCUAAGAAGAAAUAGUAAAAAUGUCCUGGAAAACUAUAGGUAUGCUGGUAUUCAGGAUUAUUGCUGAGUCCAUCAGGACUCCAAGACUUUGUGCUCUCCCAGUAACUUGAUGUUUAUGUUCAACAAGGAUCAAGCUACAGAACGGGUACUGACUGAAACAACUGCAUACUACAUAAAACUUACGGGGCUCCACAUUUCAUCACAACCCCCAGCUCAGACUAGGUCCAUUGAAUUGUUUGCUCAAGUUCAUAAACCUUUGAAAUGAACCUAGGGUGCAAACACACAGAGAUGGCUCUUGUGGUUUGGACACCAAGACCAGGCAAAAAUGCACAAUAGGCUUUAGGAGUUUGGGGUAUGAAACAUGAAGUCCAUUCUGAACACAAAACCUAUAGUGAAAUGGGGAUAGCAUGGUUCCCCAUGGAUUCAAGUUAAGCUCGUCCCAGAUUUUAAGGCAAUACGAAACCAUUAACGAUCAUCUCAUUUGAUUUCCUGCCUAGCUUGUGUCAUUUAAAUAUCAAAUAUUUUUUAGAUGAGGCAUAUCAUUUUGGGGCCAUUUAGCACAUCUCUUGUAGGCAGUCUAAUGAACAGGUUGCUUGAGGUGAGCAAGUUGCUUGUGGGUCAGGUAAGUAUGCCAAAUAGGGAUGCUCUUUGAGAUCUGAAUGUGGUAAAUGGGCCCCUGUAUAUGGGAGCUAUAUGUAUGCAACUGAAGAGAAAGCCAGUAGUAGAUUCCAAGCCAAGAAAUAUUGUGGCUUCCUCAGCUGGACAUCUCCCCUUUGUGCUUGGGGUUUCAUGGAGAGUCUUUCUACUCUUCUGUGCUGUAGAACCACUGUUUAAUUCAUCUGUUCUCUUUACGUGUAGGUUCAAUUAACUGGAGAAGAGUCCAGAUUAGAAGAGCACAUGUAACUCUUCCAUCAGGCUGCUAUUCUACUCUCCUCCUCUUCCAUUUUAUGGUAAAAUAAUGAAGAAAUGAAGAAGGAAGCUUUCUUGAGUUUACAGCAGAAAUAAAGCCAAAAAAACAUGGACAGGAAGCACCUGUCAUUCCUGAUUUGCAACAUCACCUGUUGUUCCAACGCUAGGCUUCUCUAGAGCAGAAACUGGAGCAAAGCACAGAAAUGCAUGCUUGUCAUUGAAGUGAACGGAGAAGAAGGAAGAGGAGAAUGAUAAGAUCGUCGCCUGCAGCACUUUGUUUAUGAGAACAUCCUUCCAGUGAUAUAUGUCUGCACCAGGCCCCACCUAGAGAGUUGUGAUGGGCCCCUCUUUUUCUACUACUUCCAAAGAUUGUGGAGUUCUGCAUUAUCUUCAUUAUCUGUAUGAAGCCAUUGAAAAGGGACAUUUUGAAGCAUCACAGACUAAUAAAGACCAGCCCUGGGCAGAUGACACCUUGCUCUAUAUCACCUUGACAUCAGACAUAGCACCAUCUCACAACUCUCUAGGUGGAGACUGGCAAUUGUCUGGAGAGAAGAGGUUUAACCUGGAGCCAGAAAUGUAUCCCCUACCUUUCAUCUGAUUUGCAAAUGACAAUCAUUAAAAUAAUAAAAUAAAAUAAAUUAAGGACAUUCCUUA